GGGGCUGACUGGUUUUGACAGCCAGGGAGUGGAAUUGUAAGCAUGCCGAGUGUUCGUGAGCAGGCCUCGUUAAAAGUCAGCUUUCACAGCCAUUAACUGGCGACAAUUAUUCUUACAGACUUGCUGCUUAAUUUUAGAAAUUAAGCGCGUCUUGUCUCCCGGAAAACCAUUCUCAACGGUGUUCCGGACGAGGCAUCGCAAAUGUUGAGAUAGUCGGGUCAUUGUUCCGCUGAUCCGAUGAAAUAACAGGAACUAAGGAGUCAGUUGGUUUGCCACUGACCGGCCGGCUCCCGACAAUUAACGAGAGGCUAAGCAUGUAGAAACCAUUUUUGCUACUGGUUUGGACGAGGGUUCGAAUCCCUCCAGCUCCACAA
Molecule: transfer-messenger RNA, 374 nt
Filed under: Bacteroidales bacterium
Lineage: Bacteria; Pseudomonadati; Bacteroidota; Bacteroidia; Bacteroidales
Rfam family: transfer-messenger RNA
About the family: Bacterial tmRNA, also known as 10Sa RNA or SsrA, is named for its dual tRNA and mRNA-like properties.
Source: RNAcentral